Unclassified non-coding RNA from Microcebus murinus (gray mouse lemur), 112 nucleotides. It matches the Rfam family "Y RNA". From Rfam's summary of the family: Y RNAs are components of the Ro ribonucleoprotein particle (Ro RNP), in association with Ro60 and La proteins. Lineage: Eukaryota; Metazoa; Chordata; Mammalia; Primates; Cheirogaleidae. The record is from Ensembl.
AGCUGGUUCGAAAGUAGUGAGUUAUUUCAAUUGAUUGUUCAAAUCAUUUACAGAUUGAACUCCUUGUACUACUCUUUCCCCUCUUCUCACUACUGCACUUGACUGGUCUUAA